RNAcentral lists this ribosomal RNA (253 nucleotides) under uncultured bacterium. RNAcentral's name for it is "partial 16S ribosomal RNA". It matches the Rfam family "Bacterial small subunit ribosomal RNA", at positions 524 to 776 of the family's 1533-position model. The record is from RNAcentral.
UACGAAGGUGGCUAGCGUUGUUCGGAAUCACUGGGCGUAAAGCGCACGUAGGCGGAUUUGUUAGUCAGGGGUGAAAUCCCGGGGCUCAACCUCGGAUCUGCCUUUGAUACUGCAAGUCUCGAGUCCGGAAGAGGUGAGUGGAAUUCCUAGUGUAGAGGUGAAAUUCGUAGAUAUUAGGAAGAACACCAGUGGCGAAGGCGGCUCACUGGUCCGGUACUGACGCUGAGGUGCGAAAGCGUGGGUAGCAAACAGG